UAUCCGCCUGGAAACUACGAGCAUCAGCUUAAAACCCAAAGGACUUGGCGGUGCUUUACACCCACCUAGAGGAGCCUGUUCUAGAACCGAUAAUCCCCGUUCAACCUCACCUUCUCCUUAUUUCCCGCCUAUAUACCACCGUCGGAAGCUUACCCUGUGAGGGUCUAAUAGUAAGCAAAAACGGUAUUAACCCCAGACGUCAGGUCGAGGUGUAGCACAUGGGAAGGGAAGAAAUGGGCUACAUUCCCCGAUUUGGGGUAUAACGAAAGAUGUCCUGAAAUAACACAUCUAAAGGAGGAUUUAGCAGUAA
Molecule: ribosomal RNA, 310 nt
Filed under: Trachinus draco (greater weever)
Lineage: Eukaryota; Metazoa; Chordata; Actinopteri; Perciformes; Trachinidae
Description: partial 12S ribosomal RNA
Rfam family: Bacterial small subunit ribosomal RNA
Source: RNAcentral